This is a long non-coding RNA of Columba livia (rock pigeon), 4891 nucleotides long. RefSeq lists it as uncharacterized. The transcript has 2 exons. The record is from RefSeq and is a predicted model, not a curated record. Lineage: Eukaryota; Metazoa; Chordata; Aves; Columbiformes; Columbidae.
CAACUGCUGAGUAGUACUUGUUUCUCCCAGUUCCUGCUGCUGCAUUAUUCUUACUAAUAUAGGAAUACAUCAAAUGUUGUGUGCCUGGAGUUAUUACAAGGGAACAGCAUAUUUGAUUUACAGUUCAAAACAACCUGCCUGUCUCAUUAGCUGACGGCAGCCUCAGCAUAAUGGUGUUGACAAUGAUAAAUGCACUUUUUUGUGUUUCAUUAGCAGAGAAGGGAGACAGCAAUGCACUUCCAUGAAGCAGUCCUCCGAAACAAGGCAAAAUUUGCUCUGAUGUAACAGCAGUUUCACCUGGAAGCACUGAAUAACUCUGUUUAUGUGAAAUUAAGGCUGAAGUUGCAUAAAACACCCAUUAUAUCUUCACCAGUUUCAUCCCUACAGGAAAUGCAGCAAGAGUAUCAUAUUUCACAUUCUUUCAGCUGAAACAAGGGAGCGUGGACUUUUAUAAAAUAUUUUAUAGAAACCCUUCUAAUCUUGUGUCUUGUUGCUUCAUGAAGCUCUUGCAUUUCUACAGGUUGAAUAUGCAUGCACGAGGGGUUGGAGCCUGUCAGAAAAUAUCAGAAGUUACCUCUGAUGUGCAUGGACAUGCUGGCCCUGAGAAACAAACCAGUUGCAAUAGAUGAAGGUAAUUUUUUUGAGACAUAAUACUUAUUUAGCAAAAGGAAAAAAAAAAAAAAAAAGGAUCCUCUAUGUUUCAUUUUGGCACACACUUGUUGAGAGUGGAAAGGUGGAGUGAGGCCACUGUUACAUUAGACAAGUGAAAAGUAAGAAGAGGAUAAUGAUCUAUUUUUAAGCUUCUCAGGUGUCAGUGAAAGUCAAGGAUAAAAAGAACUCACUGAUAUGAGAGACAUACUGAAAGAUAUAAGUUUUUUAAGAUUGUACAAGGAAAUGAUCAAAGGGCUAAUGAAAAUGGAAUCCCUGAAAUCUUAACUUCUGUAUGUGGAAAAAAAUCAUUUUCAAGGUAAAUAAUUUUACCAGAGGAUUCUGCGUCAAAGAAGAUAACAUAGUGCCACAACAAAAGGAAAUCAAGUUUACACUGACAAACUUUGGGGUUUACCUACUAGGUUUUCCAGAGAGAUAAUAUGUAUCAUAGAUUGUCAUUAAGUUACAUGGGUAUCUGAAACAAAUUUUUGUUACAUAGAAUACCUCUUACAAGAUACUAUUGUGAGGUUUCCGAUUUUUUUUGUUUCUUUUUUUUUUUUUUUUUUAACACACCCCAAGGUGGCCAUAUUUGGAGGCUAGCAGGUAACUGAGGUUUGCCUUCAAAGAUAUCCAGCAUAUCCAGUCAUUUUAAGUUUGAGGCCUUUACUGCAUACCCAUUUAGGAGUUUACAUAUGUGAAAGCAAAAAGCCAGAUUCUGUGCAUACUUUUCAAGGGUAUGUAAUUAAAGAAUAAAUGAACAGUUAUGCAAAGUCUAUGAUAAAAGCAGGAUGGUUUGCCUGGCCCCACAUUAGGCAGCAGGCUGCUGAAAAGCUGUGUGAGGGAAAGAUUAGAAGAUUUCUGGGUUUUCUGUGCAACUUGCAGAUCUUGUACAGAAAUCAUAAAGGAACAGUCUGCUCUAUUAAUGAGCAUAUUUAAACUAUUCACCAAGGACAUGGACGAAGAGACUCAGUAGACUCUCAGCAAGUUUGCUGAUGAUACAAAUCUGGGAGAAGUGGCUGGUACCCCAGAAGGCUGUGCUGCCAGUCAGCGACAUCUGGACAGGCUGGAGAGUUGGGUGGAGAGGAACCUAGUGAAGUUCAGCAAAGGCUGAACUAGAUGUAGGGUCCUACAUCUAGGGAGGAAUAGCCCCAUGCACCAGUACAUAUUUGGGGCUGACCUUCUGGAAGGUAGCUUUGCAGAGAAGGACCUGGGAGUCCUAGUGGACAACAGGUUGACCAUGAGCCAACCAUGUGUCCUUAUGGCCAAAUAGGCCAAUGGCAUCCUGGGGUGCAUUAGGAAGCCUGUGACCAGCAGGUUCAGGGAGGUUAUCCUCCCCCUCUACUCUGCCCUGGUGAGGCAACAUCUGCAGUACCGUGUCCAGAUCUGGGCUCCACAGUUUAAAAAGGACAAGGAAUUACCAGAGAGAGUACAGUAGAGAGGUAAAAAGAUAAUUAGGUGUCUGGAGCACCUUCAUUAAGAGGAAAGACUGAGAACUGGGUCUGAUCAACCUGAAAGGUUGAAGAGGGUUGAAGAAAGAAAAGAUUGAGAGGGGAUCUUAUCAAUGCUUAUAAAUAUCUCAAGAGUGGCUAUCAAGAGCAUUGUACAAGACUCUUUUCAGUGGUGCCCAAAUACAGGAUGAAGUGCAAUUGAAGCAUAGGAGGUUUCAUCUGGAUGUGAGGAGAGACUUGUUUACGUUGAGAGUGACACAGCACUGAAACAGGCUGCCCAAAGAGCUUGUGGAGUCUCCUUCUCUGAGACAUUCUAAACCUACCUGGAUAUAUUCCUGUGCAGUCUGCUCCAGCUGACCCUGCUCUAGUAGAUGAGUUGGAGAAGACAACUUCCAGAGGUGCCUUCCAACCCCAACCUUUCUGUGACUCUGUGAUACUUGAAAUCUUUCCAUAUAUACUAAUAAAAGUAAUACUUUCUAAGAUGUCAAAUACACUUCUCAAGCAUGAUGUUUAAAAUCUAAAUGCACUAUGAAAGAUUAAAAAUAAAGAUUUCCAUGGCUUAUUUGGAGUUGGAUAGGACCCCAUUAGUGGGGCAUUGUGAUCUGUUUUUAUUCUCAGGGAAAUUAAAAAUGAAUGAGCAGAGACUGGGCACACCAAAAAUUUUUUAGUUGAGAACUUCUGCAUAUGUUCUUCAUACCAGUGUACUAUAUUACAAUAAUUAAGGAUUUUCAGUUUUAAAAUAGGAGUCAACCAACUGACUGUGUAACCUUCUUUCACACUAGAAGUUGAGCAUAGCAAGUUAAACAGGGCCAUUGAUUGUCAACCCUGUUAAGCAAUGACAUUGGGCAAGGCUGUUUCUAAAGGCAGUGUAACCUGAGAAUAUUAGAGAAAAAAAUGUGGUCUGACCAGAAUGAAUAGGAAGAAAAUGUUGUAGUUUAUGACAAUAGAAACAAACCUCUGCCUGUAAAAUAUCAUCAGAGGUCAUUGUUAAGGUACUUUCAGGGCACAGGAUGGAAUAAUAAAAGAUAAAGAGAAUUAAUCUUCCUAUUAACAAUAAAAGGGCUGAACACAUGUGACAGCAAUCAUUGCUAUGAAUGUAGGGUUAAAUAUCAUAGAACAAUAGAAGCACGAUGCAGUGCUCAAUGAGAACUAAGGACCAGACUAAGACCAUUCAGCCUGGAGGUAAAUAGCAGAGGCAUCUACUAUUCCAUUCAUUAGCAGCAGAAGAGGCUCCAAAAGGCCCAUUCUCAAUCUCCCAGCUACAGUGAAUAUUGCUAUUACAAUCUGUUAAUUGACUGCUUGCCUGAGUGUUCAGCUGCUGCAAAUGGCUAAUAUUGAAUAGAGGAGAGUCUGUGGUUUGGUAGAACAGGCCUGUAACAAGGAGCGAUGAAGAAGCUUACUCCCAGACAGCACCUCUACGUAAGGUUAUUAAAAGAACAUUUGUUUUAUGUAUUCUAUCUCUUCUUCUGUCAUUGCAGACGACAUUUGUGUGAGGUACUGACUGUUAGCUUCCUAAAAAUGAGUAGGUAGAAUUAGAGAUAUUACUCACAACAGAGAGGUGGGGCCCACAUAUAGCACUAAGUUAGUUUUCCCCAACUGCUCCUCACAAAGCACAGGUUUUACAAAUUUCUGUGUCGAGGAGGAUUAAGAAAUUGCCAUGAAUGCUUAAAUUCACUUCACUAUUUUGCCAUUUUUAUGAAAAUUGAAAUGUUCUGUGGCUUGAAGUACAAUUGGUCAUACAAUAGGACACAAUGUUCACACAAUCUAAAUACUAUUAACAAGAAACAGGUGCUGUGCAUUUUUACUUUUCCAACUUAUUUUUUUCUGCCAUAGUCUUGAAACCUCAGUUUACUGGACAGAGAAAUUGAUCUGGUUUUGAUUUAUCAUACUCAAACUGUGAGAUGCUGAAUAAUUCAACUGUGUGCAUUAUGAUUUAAAUACUGCAUUGGCAGAGUCAAGUUAUCAUACAAACCUGGCUCAUUUCUCCACUCCUUUACAGCAUAGAUUUUUUUGGGGGCCUAGAGCAUCUCUCAAUAGAGUAUGCUGCAGUUUGUGUUCCAGCAGUUCCAAGUCAUGUAACACACUUUCAAAACUUGCAAUUUGAAUGACUUAGCCAUCUCUUGAUCUACAGAAACUCUCAGACCCCCAUUAUCAGAGCUGUUCUGGAUUGGUUUUCAGUGUAGCCAGAGGUCAACAAAAGCUCACUGUGAUUAUGACAGUACAGGACAGUUUUAUCUAUUUCCCUGUAUCUUAUAUGACACUUCAUAUGCAACAUUGGCAUUCCAGUUAGCAUUUAAGUACAGAGAUUCAACAGAAUUUUCUGUGCAGGCAUCUCUGGAGGAGCAACCCUAUACAUCUGAGAGGUGACUCUAAUAUGCUAGUAAUUUCUAUAGUGAUUUUAUUUAAUUUGAAAGGCAUUAAAAUAAUUAAUGCUCUAGGUGGCUACACUCUCUGAAAAAUAUGCCACACUGUGGACUGAAUACUGAGACAUUACCUCAAAACUGACCCGAAGAUAUAAAAGCUCUGUGUGAGGCUACAAAACCAUUUUUUCUUGACCAUAUGUGGAUUCUAAACAUGCUCUGUCAAAAUAAGAUGACUGAUCUUAUUAUGUCUCUGUGGACAUUCUUCUAUUUUAAAUACUAGAAGGUGUGACUUUCUCCUUUUUUUAUUAAUCUGAGAAAUAGGAAGUCCUAAUGAUCGUAACGUGUCUUAGAUGCAUUGCAGUCUGUACUGUGCAUAUAAACUGAAUAUAUAUUUUUGUUUGGUUUUAAUAAAAAAAAAAAAAACUCUACUAA